Molecule: transfer RNA, 83 nt
Filed under: Colletotrichum orbiculare MAFF 240422
Lineage: Eukaryota; Fungi; Ascomycota; Sordariomycetes; Glomerellales; Glomerellaceae
Description: tRNA-Asp for anticodon GUC
Rfam family: tRNA
About the family: Transfer RNA (tRNA) molecules are approximately 80 nucleotides in length. Their secondary structure includes four short double-helical elements and three loops (D, anti-codon, and T loops). Further hydrogen bonds mediate the characteristic L-shaped molecular structure. tRNAs have two regions of fundamental functional importance: the anti-codon, which is responsible for specific mRNA codon recognition, and the 3' end, to which the tRNAs corresponding amino acid is attached (by aminoacyl-tRNA synthetases). tRNAs cope with the degeneracy of the genetic code in two manners: having more than one tRNA (with a specific anti-codon) for a particular amino acid; and 'wobble' base-pairing, i.e. permitting non-standard base-pairing at the 3rd anti-codon position.
Source: Rfam by way of RNAcentral
UCCUCGAUAGUCUAGUGGUGAGGAUAUCGGCUUGUCACUUGUGCGAUUCGCCGGGGACCGGGGUUCAAUUCCCCGUCGAGGAG